GUCGGAAUGGCGGAAUUGGUAGACGCGCUAGGUUGAGGGCCUAGUGAGGGUAUAACCUCAUGGGGGUUCAAGUCCCCCUUCCGACACCA
RNAcentral lists this transfer RNA (89 nucleotides) under Actinobacteria bacterium ADurb.BinA094. RNAcentral describes it as "tRNA-Leu". It matches the Rfam family "tRNA". From Rfam's summary of the family: Transfer RNA (tRNA) molecules are approximately 80 nucleotides in length. Their secondary structure includes four short double-helical elements and three loops (D, anti-codon, and T loops). The record is from RNAcentral. Lineage: Bacteria; Bacillati; Actinomycetota. RNAcentral also lists the same sequence under 4 other names.